Molecule: ribosomal RNA, 687 nt
Filed under: Acinetobacter sp. EECC-438
Lineage: Bacteria; Pseudomonadati; Pseudomonadota; Gammaproteobacteria; Moraxellales; Moraxellaceae
Description: bacterial SSU rRNA
Rfam family: Bacterial small subunit ribosomal RNA
Source: RNAcentral
CGGACGGGUGAGUAAUGCUUAGGAAUCUGCCUAUUAGUGGGGGACAACAUUCCGAAAGGAAUGCUAAUACCGCAUACGCCCUACGGGGGAAAGCAGGGGAUCUUCGGACCUUGCGCUAAUAGAUGAGCCUAAGUCAGAUUAGCUAGUUGGUGGGGUAAAGGCCUACCAAGGCGACGAUCUGUAGCGGGUCUGAGAGGAUGAUCCGCCACACUGGGACUGAGACACGGCCCAGACUCCUACGGGAGGCAGCAGUGGGGAAUAUUGGACAAUGGGCGAAAGCCUGAUCCAGCCAUGCCGCGUGUGUGAAGAAGGCCUUUUGGUUGUAAAGCACUUUAAGCGAGGAGGAGGCUACUUGGAUUAAUACUCUAGGAUAGUGGACGUUACUCGCAGAAUAAGCACCGGCUAACUCUGUGCCAGCAGCCGCGGUAAUACAGAGGGUGCGAGCGUUAAUCGGAUUUACUGGGCGUAAAGCGUGCGUAGGCGGCUUUUUAAGUCGGAUGUGAAAUCCCUGAGCUUAACUUAGGAAUUGCAUUCGAUACUGGGAAGCUAGAGUAUGGGAGAGGAUGGUAGAAUUCCAGGUGUAGCGGUGAAAUGCGUAGAGAUCUGGAGGAAUACCGAUGGCGAAGGCAGCCAUCUGGCCUAAUACUGACGCUGAGGUACGAAAGCAUGGGGAGCAAACAGGAUUAG